AAUUUUGCUCCCUUCGUGACAAACUCAGGGUCUUUGACAAGCAACAAUUACUCAAGCCAAGCUCAACUUCUGCAAGGGAAUAUUAGAGAUAUAUAGUACUCUAGAUGGCUAAGCUCAGUUUAGCUUUGUAAUACUGCUUCUAGAAUAUCUCCUAGUUAGUUUUCAGAUUCUUAUAUAAGAUAAGAAUCACUUUCAGUUGUAACUAACUU
RNAcentral lists this long non-coding RNA (209 nucleotides) under Trifolium pratense (red clover). RNAcentral's name for it is "long non-coding RNA (TPRA_LNC011876)". Lineage: Eukaryota; Viridiplantae; Streptophyta; Magnoliopsida; Fabales; Fabaceae. The record is from RNAcentral.